GUGACCAAAACCGCACCC
This 18-nucleotide small nuclear RNA is filed under the name Arabidopsis thaliana (thale cress). Its description in RNAcentral is "snRNA_06739". The record is from RNAcentral. Lineage: Eukaryota; Viridiplantae; Streptophyta; Magnoliopsida; Brassicales; Brassicaceae.